Molecule: ribosomal RNA, 468 nt
Filed under: uncultured bacterium
Lineage: Bacteria
Description: partial 16S ribosomal RNA
Rfam family: Bacterial small subunit ribosomal RNA
Source: RNAcentral
GACGAACGCUGGCGGCGUGCCUAACACAUGCAAGUCGAACGGAAAGACCCUGCUUUUGUGGGGUUCUCGAGUGGGGAAGGGGUGAGUAACACAUGAGUAUCCUGCCCUUGACUUUCGGAUAUCUUCAGGAAACUGGGGCUAAUACCGGAUAGGAGAUCCUGAUCCAUGGGGGGCGUUGGAAAGUUUCGGCUGUUGGGGAUGGACUCGCGGCUUACCAGCUAGUUGGUGGGGUAGUGGCGUACCAAGGCUUCGACGGGUAGCCGGCCUGAGAGGGUGACCAGCCACAUUGGGACUGAGAUACGGACCAGACUCGUACGGGAGGCAGCAGUGGGGAAUAUUGCACAAUGGGCGGAAGCCUGAUGCAGCGACGCCGCGUGCGUGAUGACGGCCUUCGGGUUGUAAACCGCUUUCGCCUGUGACGAAGCGUGAGUGACGGUAAUGGGUAAAGAAGCACCGGCUAACUACGUG